AUUGAGCGCUGGCGGCAGGCCUAACACAUGCAAGUCGAGCGGAUGAAGGGAGCUUGCUCCUGGAUUCAGCGGCGGACGGGUGAGUAAUGCCUAUGAAUCUGCCUAGUAGUGGGGGAUAACGUCCGGAAACGGGCGCUAAUACCGCAUACGUCCUGCGGGAGAAAGUGGGGGAUCUUCGGACCUCACGCUAUCAGAUGAGCCUAGGUCGGAUUAGCUAGUUGGUGGGGUAAAGGCCUACCAAGGCGACGAUCCGUAACUGGUCUGAGAGGAUGAUCAGUCACAUUGGAACUGGAACACGGUCCAGACUCCUACGGGAGGCAGCAGUGGGGAAUAUUGGACAAUGGGCGAAAGCCUGAUCCAGCCAUGCCGCGUGUGUGAAGAAGGUCUUCGGAUUGUAAAGCACUUUAAGUUGGGAGGAAGGGCAGUAAGUUAAUACCUUGCUGUUUUGACGGUACCAACAGAAUAAGCACCGGCUAACUUCGUG
RNAcentral lists this ribosomal RNA (484 nucleotides) under uncultured bacterium. Its description in RNAcentral is "partial 16S ribosomal RNA". It matches the Rfam family "Bacterial small subunit ribosomal RNA", at positions 30 to 507 of the family's 1533-position model. The record is from RNAcentral.